This 580-nucleotide long non-coding RNA is filed under the name Elaeis guineensis (African oil palm). RNAcentral's name for it is "long non-coding RNA (EGUI_LNC019912)". Lineage: Eukaryota; Viridiplantae; Streptophyta; Magnoliopsida; Arecales; Arecaceae. The record is from RNAcentral.
GCGUAGACUUGUAACGAUGGGGAUGGCCCCGUCGGACGGCAAAAAUAAACCCCAAUGUGGGCAAGGUCGAAGGCCCGAUUAUUUAUAGACCGAAUGGGGGGAGAGGCCAUGCAGCACCCAUAUGCGCCCCCACAGCCAUGUUAGGGACAGGAGGAGAACCUCGCCCUAACAUGAGCAAGGUUGAAGGCCCGAUUAUUUGUAGAUCGGAUGGGGGGAGAGGCCAUACAAUGCCCAUAUGUGCCCCCACAGCCAUGUUAGGGAUAGGAGGAGAACCUCGUCCUAAUAUGAGCAAGGUUGAAGGCCCGAUUCUUUAUAGACCGGAUGGGGGGAGAGGCCAUACAGCGCCCAUAUGUGCCCCCACAGCCAUGUUAGGGAUAGGAGGAGAACCUCGCCCUAACAUGAGCAAGGUCGAAGGUCCGGUUAUUUGUAGAUCGGAUGGGGGGAGAGGCCAUACAGCGCCCAUAUGCACCCCCACAGCCAUGUUAGGGACAGGAGGAGAACCUCGCCCUAACAUGAGCAAGGUCGAAGGCCCGAUUGUUUGUAGAUCAGAUGGGGAGAGAGGCCAUGCAGCACCCAUAUG